Molecule: regulatory RNA element, 118 nt
Organism: Helicobacter bizzozeronii CIII-1
Lineage: Bacteria; Pseudomonadati; Campylobacterota; Epsilonproteobacteria; Campylobacterales; Helicobacteraceae
Rfam family: purD RNA motif
Source: Rfam
GUAGUGGUUUUUGUGUGAUUUGGUAUUUUCUUUGGUAGAAUCUGCCACCUAAGAGAACCCUCUUAGCCUAGGUUGUAGCUUCUUUGAACUACGCAAGAAUAGUAACGGUCGUUUGGGU